GAAAUGCGAUAAUUAAUGUGAAUUGCAGAAUUCAGUGAAUCAUCGAGUCUUUGAACGCACAUUGCGCCCCCUGGUAUUCCGGGGGGCAUGCCUGUCCGAGCGUCAUUGCUGCCCUCAAGCACUGCUUGUGUGUUGGGCUUCCGUCCCUGGCAACGGGGACGGGCCCAAAAGGCAGUGGCGGCACCAUGUCUGGUCCUCGAGCGUAUGGGGCUUUGUCACCCGCUCCCGUAGGUCCAGCUGGCAGCUAGCCUCGCAACCAAUCUUUUUAACCAGGUUGACCUCGGAUCAGGUAGGGAUACCCGCUGAACUUAAGC
RNAcentral lists this unclassified non-coding RNA (314 nucleotides) under plant metagenome. RNAcentral's name for it is "partial contains 5.8S ribosomal RNA, internal transcribed spacer 2, and large subunit ribosomal RNA". The stretch from base 1 to 105 matches the Rfam family "5.8S ribosomal RNA", at positions 50 to 154 of the family's 154-position model. The record is from RNAcentral.